RNAcentral lists this ribosomal RNA (478 nucleotides) under uncultured bacterium. Its description in RNAcentral is "bacterial SSU rRNA". It matches the Rfam family "Bacterial small subunit ribosomal RNA", at positions 28 to 492 of the family's 1533-position model. The record is from RNAcentral.
GAUGAACGCUAGCUACAGGCUUAACACAUGCAAGUCGAGGGGAAACGAUAGAGAAAGCUUGCUUUUUCUAGGCGUCGACCGGCGCACGGGUGAGUAACGCGUAUCCAACCUGCCCACCACUUGGGGAUAACCUUGCGAAAGUAAGACUAAUACCCAAUGACGUCUCUAGAAGACAUCUGAAAGAGAUUAAAGAUUUAUCGGUGAUGGAUGGGGAUGCGUCUGGUUAGCUUGUUGGCGGGGUAACGGCCCACCAAGGCGACGAUCAGUAGGGGUUCUGAGAGGAAGGUCCCCCACAUUGGAACUGAGACACGGUCCAAACUCCUACGGGAGGCAGCAGUGAGGAAUAUUGGGUCAAUGGACGAGAGUCUGAACCAGCCAAGUAGCGUGCAGGAUGACGGCCCUAUGGGUUGUAAACUGCUUUUAUAAGGGAAUAAAGUGAGUCUCGUGAGACUUUUUGCAUGUACCUUAUGUAAUAAGG